RNA transcript from Pyrgilauda ruficollis (rufous-necked snowfinch), 2777 nucleotides. It is a transcript of the gene named probable G-protein coupled receptor 83, with no coding region annotated. The transcript has 7 exons. The record is from RefSeq and is a predicted model, not a curated record. NCBI's taxonomy places the organism in Eukaryota, Metazoa, Chordata, Aves, Passeriformes, Passeridae.
GCGGGGUGUUCGGUGCGGGGUGUGCGGUGCGGGCUGUCCAGCGCAGGAGCCGGAGGAGCCGCUGCUGCCCCUUGGGACCGGGCACGGUCGGGAACAAAAACGCGAAUUCAGAUCGUUGCUGGAAAGACGUCUUUGCAUUUGUUUAGAGCAGAAGGUGAGCGUUUCUGCAUUGGAAAGAAGUUCCUGUGACAGCAGCACGGGAUGGUCAGGGAGCCUGCUUGAGCCCAGAGCUCACCUGUGAAGUUCUUGCUCUUCUUGCUGUGUGAGAGAGUGUGUGGUCCCAAACCAGCCUGUUUCUGACACACCACUGGUACUGCUCCCCAGCAGGGAAGACUGGGGUUGACCUGCCAUGCCUCACUCGCUGCUUCAGCCAUCCAGGUCACAGGUGACAGGGUUUCUUGAGGAGUUUGACCAUUACUCUUCCCUGGCCAAACUCAUGUCCAUCUACCACGCGACGAACAGGAGCAUCUUCAACUGGACAGAGAGCCGCAUUGUUGAGUGGGAGAAGUUUGCUGAGCUGGCUAAAUAUGAGCCAGAAUCCCAGAAACCAACAGUGAAAGCGCUGCUAAUCAUGGCAUACUCGGUCAUUAUCGUCAUGUCUCUCUUUGGGAACAUGCUGGUGUGCCAUGUGGUGCUGAAGAACAAGAGGAUGCACUCAGCCACCAGCCUCUUCAUCGUCAACCUGGCGGUGUCAGACAUCAUGAUCACACUGCUCAACACACCUUUCACCUUGGUCCGGUUUGUGAACAGCACGUGGGUUUUUGGGAAGGCCAUGUGCCACAUCAGCCGCUUUGUGCAGUACUGCUCCCUCCACGUGUCCACACUGACCCUGACGGCCAUCGCUCUCGACAGGCACCAGGUCAUCCUGAACCCUCUGAAGCAGAGGAUGUCCCUGACAAAGGGAGCUCUGAGCAUCUCUGUUAUCUGGCUGAUGGCAACCUGUUUCUCCCUGCCCCAUGCUGUCUAUCAAAAGCUUUUCCAGUAUAACUACAGGGAAGCCACUGUCCGGAGUCUGUGCCUCCCUGACUUCCCUGAGCCUGCAGAGUUGGUCUGGAAGUAUCUGGACCUGUCUACCUUUCUUCUUCUUUACCUCCUGCCUCUGCUGAUCAUCACCAUCACCUACAUGCGCCUGGCCAAGAAGCUGUGGCUCCGCAAUGCCAUCGGGGAUGUCACCAUGCAGCAGUACGUCACCCACCACAGGAACAAGAAGAAGAGCAUCAAGAUGCUGAUGCUGGUGGUGGUGGUCUUUGCAGUCUGCUGGUUCCCCCUGAACUGCUACGUGGUGCUGAUCUCCAGCCUGGGCAUCAAGACGAAGAACUCACUCUAUUUCGCGCUGCACUGGUUCGCCAUGAGCAGCACCUGCUACAAUCCCUUCAUCUACUGCUGGCUGAACGAGAGCUUCCGCACGGGGCUCCGCUCCCUGCUCUGCGUCUGCCAGAAGGUGCCACAGCCUCAGGAGCAGGCGCUGCCACCCAGGCCCGUGUCCUGCCGCGAGGCGUGGCUGGAGCAGGCCAGGUGCAGGAAGGGACCGGCCUCCCAGGCCAGCUGCUCCACCAGGAACCUCCCGACGGCCAGCACGGACCUGUGAGCCACGGGGUUUUCCCAUUUAUUGCUAUCAGAGGGAGUGGACCCAGGUUUCUGUCAGUGGCUGUAACAUGUAUCAUAACGUGGGGCUCUGCACAGCAGCAGGAACAAAUCCGUGAUGACAGAUGUCUGAAGGAAGGACUUGGGCAUGCAGAUGUGCUCCAUCCACAGGGAGCCUCACCAAUUAGUGUAUAGCAAAGCCUCCUACAGAGUUUUUGCAGUGGGAAGGAAAAGGACAGAAAGGAGGGGGAUCCUAGCUUCAGGCCACUUGACCCCUGCUGGGCACCUUGGGUGUGCACUGCAGUGCCUGCACCAGAAGAAAACAGCAGAACACGAGGAGUGGCAGCAAGAAUGGAUGAAUACUUCAUCCCUGAGGCACUUUGCUUGGAGCUCACACUUAUUGAACAUGGGAAUUCAAAGCUGUGCUGGUUGCCAGCGCCGUCCUCUCUCAGUGUACAGAAGGGUUUGUUUUCAGUCAAAAAACAUCACUGUGAGUUUCUCAGAAUGUUAAGACAAUCUCUAAUUAAUAAGCAUCACCUCAUUUAAUUAGUAAAAGAAGCUAUCGUUUGUUUUUUUCCUGUUCCUUGCUCCUCACUAGCUUUUGGUGAGCAGCUCUCAAACUGCCAUGUAUUGUCUUUAAUAUUUAUUAGGUUUGUUUUUCUUCCUUUCUUUCUUUAAAUGGCUGAAUAACCUUUUUGUGGAGGAGUCCAAGCCCUUACUCCAAAGAAGGGGUCUCACCACGCUGCCUUGAUCUUCUGCUAAUCCCUGUAGUUAUCUAUCUCUUGCUGUCAGAAAUAACCUGGCUGGUUUUCCUUGGAUCUGUCAAUCGCAGCAUCUCCUCGUUGCUGAAUUUUUCUCCCCUAAAAGGGCAGGAUGUAAGAGCUGAGUGUAUCGAAUCUCCGUAAUGGCUCAGCUAUCUGGACUGAUAAUUAUCAAUGCCUGAGUGAGAAUCAGAACUUUGUAUGCUUUGCCCAGUGCCUCAAGGCUCCUGUGUCACUUGAGGAUGCCCUGACGCCCAGCAGCUCUCAGGCAAACAUAAAUGCACAAUAUAUAUAUAAAAAGCAUAACCUGAGCAUCGUUUGACCAGGGCACGGACAGUGCCUGGGGAGCAGGAGGCUGCAUCUCUGCUGGACUCCAAGCCAGCCUCUGGAAAAGGGAAUCUGUGAAAUUCGGCUUCUGCUGGGUCUGAGUCA